This 428-nucleotide ribosomal RNA is filed under the name uncultured bacterium. RNAcentral's name for it is "bacterial SSU rRNA". It matches the Rfam family "Bacterial small subunit ribosomal RNA", at positions 355 to 775 of the family's 1533-position model. The record is from RNAcentral.
UGGGGAAUUUUGGACAAUGGGGGCAACCCUGAUCCAGCCAUGCCGCGUGCGGGAAGAAGGCCUUCGGGUUGUAAACCGCUUUUGGUCGGAAAGAAAGGGCUUGGGUUAAUACCCUGGGUCUUUGACGGUACCGGCAGAAUAAGCACCGGCUAACUACGUGCCAGCAGCCGCGGUAAUACGUAGGGUGCGAGCGUUAAUCGGAAUUACUGGGCGUAAAGCGUGCGCAGGCGGUUUGCUAAGUCCGCUGUGAAAGCCCCGGGCUCAACCUGGGAAUGGCAGUGGAAACUGGCGAGCUAGAGUGUGGCAGAGGGGGGUGGAAUUCCACGUGUAGCAGUGAAAUGCGUAGAGAUGUGGAGGAACACCAAUGGCGAAGGCAGCCCCCUGGGUUGACACUGACGCUCAGGCACGAAAGCGUGGGGAGCAAACAG